RNAcentral lists this transfer RNA (83 nucleotides) under Schistocephalus solidus. It matches the Rfam family "tRNA". From Rfam's summary of the family: Transfer RNA (tRNA) molecules are approximately 80 nucleotides in length. Their secondary structure includes four short double-helical elements and three loops (D, anti-codon, and T loops). Further hydrogen bonds mediate the characteristic L-shaped molecular structure. tRNAs have two regions of fundamental functional importance: the anti-codon, which is responsible for specific mRNA codon recognition, and the 3' end, to which the tRNAs corresponding amino acid is attached (by aminoacyl-tRNA synthetases). tRNAs cope with the degeneracy of the genetic code in two manners: having more than one tRNA (with a specific anti-codon) for a particular amino acid; and 'wobble' base-pairing, i.e. permitting non-standard base-pairing at the 3rd anti-codon position. Lineage: Eukaryota; Metazoa; Platyhelminthes; Cestoda; Diphyllobothriidea; Diphyllobothriidae. The record is from Rfam by way of RNAcentral.
GGCCUCGUAGCUCAGUUGUCUAGAGCGUUGGCUCUACUAAAGCCCUGCGCUUGCUGGCUUGGGAUCAAAUCCCACAUAGGCCA